Long non-coding RNA from Suricata suricatta (meerkat), 7731 nucleotides. RefSeq lists it as uncharacterized. Lineage: Eukaryota; Metazoa; Chordata; Mammalia; Carnivora; Herpestidae. The record is from RefSeq and is a predicted model, not a curated record. The transcript has 6 exons.
UCACCACGUCUGCAAACUGGUGCUCCUUUAUGCAGCCUGCGGAGGGCCCAGUCAGGCCUCAAGGCCUCGCGAGGGGGGUGUCCACGCUGCCCAGCCCCGGCCCCUCACCUUGCAGGGACAGCAGCCAGAAGACGGCACAGCCGGCCUCAGCCAUCUCUGCGUCCGUGGGGUAGGCGGCCAGCACCUCAGCGAUGAGGGCCGGGGCCUUCUCCAAGGGGCUCUUGUUCACAACGUCUGGGGCCGGGACAGGAUGGAGGAGGGACACCUCGCCCUUGAGUGGCUGCAGGAGAGCCUGCUGUAUGCGUGACCCCGUGCCCCCUGCUCCCACCAAGGACACCAGAGCCGACGCUGCUGGGCGAGAGUCCAGGCUCUCCGAAGAGCUUCUCUGUGGGCUCCGGCCCUGAAGUGCUUAAAGGACAGGCCGCGAGGCCCUCGAAGCUCGCACAGGGGACCAGGGGGCCGCGAGGAUACCAGUCCCCGGGCGGGCGAGCAGGAGGAGGGGCCCCUCACCGUCCACCAGCAGGGCCCAGAGCAGGCUCAGGCCGCGGAUGCAGACGUCCCUGUUGGUGAGGAAGGUUCUCAGGCGCUCCAGGAUGUGCUCCAACAGCCCAGCCUUCCGCAGCUCCUCCGAGGCCGACCCUGUGGGCAAGCCCCGGAGAGCCCCCUCCGUCUGUUGUCCUCACCCCCACGCUGCUGGGUCCCUACUCGGCACCAGUCAUACCCAGCAUGGGGUCCAUCCCCUGGGCCCCAGCGUCGCCUACCCCAGUAUUGGGCUGGGACCGGCCUCGCGGGACGGACCACACAGAGCACGCCUGAGCCUCCGGGGACGAGAGCGUGGCUGCGUCUCUCCCGGCAGGUGAGCCGACGCCCAGUCUGCCUGAUGGCUCUAACUUAGGCCUGCUGUCCUAACCCGCCUCCUCCCAGCACCCCAGAGUGCGGGGUGCCAGCCCCUGGCUCCAGGGGAGUGUCCCAGGGCUCACGGGCCGGCUUCCCGCCGGAGCGAGGGCUGCCCACCCGGUGAGGAAGGUGGGAGCGGUAAGGUGCGAAGGGCCCUCGGUCGCGCUCCUCCCUGUGGCACCCCCAGUGCAGUCGCCUGCGGCCUGCGUGGCUGGAGGCUCCCGGAUCCCAGAAGCUGCCGCCACCGUGAGCCCAUGGUGGCACCUGGCAGCCGGUCGGUGUCGUGCGCAUUUGUGGAGGGAGCAAGUGACCGCCAGAUGGAAGCUUCCCAUCGGUAGAUGCAACAGGACGAGCGUGUGGAAGACCCUGCUGCAGGCAGCGCGAUGGUGCCACCCUGUACCCGUGCAGCGCCCCGGCCUCCACCUGACAGAGGGCGGGCCAGGCACACCCACCCUGGCUGGAGAUGAUGGUGAGCACGCAGUAGGCCGUGACCAGGAGCUGCUCCGACUCGGGGUGAGUCUGCAGGCCGCUCAGCAGGACCGAGGUGACGGAGCUGUCACGCGGCACCUCGGCCGUUGGGUCCUGUGCCAGUGCUACUUGGCCCGAGGGAAGAGGCUGGAGUCACCUCCUGAGCCUGGCUCACGGGGCAGGGGGUGGGCUGCUGUGCUCCCUCCCUGGCUGUGGCGGGGGCGGGGAGCAGUGCCCCUGCUUCGCGUGGAGAGAGUGGAGGUCAGCCUCGCCCUCCUGGCAUGGAGUGGGUCCCCACACGCGCCCGCCCGCGCAGCUGGCCAGUGAGCGGCGCUGUGCAGCCAGCGCGGGGCUCCAAGGCUCUGUGGCUCUGGGACGAGGCGCCAGAGUCCACGGGACCAGGUGCGGCCCGGCACCCACCUCGGCCCAGGCUGCGCAGCAGCAGGGAGCAGGCGUGCAGCUGGAUGUCCAGGACCCUCUCGUGUUGCUUCAUGAUGGCGGCCAGCACCUCCACCAGUGCUGGGGGCCACAGCAGGCCUGGCGGGGCAGGGAGGCGGUGAGCCUGGGCACAGGUGCGGGGGCGGGGCACCCCAACUCCGCUGGGGCUCUACAGGGUGCCUGCUGGAUGUGGAGGCAGGAAAUGACGGUGCGCGUUGGGCGCUCACCGUGUGCCUGCCAUGGGCGUCUCGUCCCAGCAGCCCCCAAGGGAGAGAGCCUUCCUGUGACUCUCGUCUUACAGAUGAGGACACCGGGCAGAGGGAUGACAGCACUUGCCUGGAACCCAGCCUGACUCUGGAGCCCGUGGCCAUAACUACCCUGAGUGUGGGCGUCUGUGGGUGUCGUUGAGUCUCCUCUGUGCUGUGUGCUGGGUCGGGGUGAGAGGCAGGGGCGUGCAGCUGAGGGUCCCAGCGGCCGCUGUGCCCCUCCUCCGCGGCUUUGUUUGCCGUGUUCUGAGAACAACCCCAGCAAGGGCGCUGACGCCUCACUUAGAGGCCGGGGCGGGCGUGGCUCCAGGGAAGCCUCGCUCAGCUCUUCCUGGACGACAGGGUCUCCCGCUGUGAACUCUAUUCUGGCCACAGCCUGGCUCCAGGAGGAGUCGAGGGGAGGGGCGAGAAAGAGGGAAGGUCAAGUGGCCAGGACUACGUCUCUGCCGCUGCCUUAGAGGGGCUGGGACUGGGCCUCUGCACUCUCUGAUGCCCCAACCACGGAGCAGACCUUUUGUGCAAGGACGGAGGACAGACAGGAAUUCGUCCUACGGAAACGCUCACACAAGUGGACCCGGGCACGCGCUCCGGGGCGCUCAGGGUAGGUUUGCUUAAGACGCUGGACAAUUAGCAACGGGUCGGGGGCCCACCAACAGCGAUGGCGGAGGCCGUGGGCGUCCCAUUAAGCCUCUACGAAGAUCGUGGGAAGGCAGAGGCCGCUACACACGGCAGGCCGACCAUCCCGUUCCCGCUUUCUCCUGGGGCAAAAGGCACAGCCGGCAGGAAUUCCAGGCUGCCCGUUCCAAGCAGGUGGGGACACAGGCCUCAGAGGUGCAGGAGAGCCUGCGGGAGGGACCAUGGCUCCGCCAAAGGCCCGUGCCACAGGGUGAGCCCCCGAGGACCUGGGGAAGGCGGGUGGGGGCUCUACCUAGCUGGUCUUCGGGCAUUUUCAGGAGCCUCUUCAUGGCUUUGAGCUGGACUUCGGGGCUGCUGGAGAAUUGCUGCAUGACCUCUAUGGGAGAACGGACGGUGUGGGGAGGAGCCCGGCUGGCUCCGGGGCCCUCGGAGGGCCGGGCGCCUGGGGUCCAUCUGUGGGCACCACGCUGCCCGUGGAUGCAUAAGACAGGGCAUGAGGGGAUGCCCUUAUCCCCACUCUGCAGGCCAAGCAGCCUUAGAGUCUCCCGUCUCAACAAGGCCAGAGUUGUGCCCCGAGCCCGGGGCUCUUCCCACUGAGCCUCUGAGCCUCCCUGCAGGGCUCUUUGCCUUUGAUUCAUGACAAAGGCCCCCAGCCCCCAAAAUGAGCGGCAGUCUGCAGCGUGGACACUGCAGAGCCCCUGCCUCCCUCCCCCGUGGCCGGGCCCUGUGCGCCCGCAGCGGCUCCCCUUGCUCUAGGUGAGGACACAGGCUCCGGGGGGAGACUCGCUCAGCCACUCAACUGCUGAGUGACAGGCUUCGACUGGACCCAGGGCCCUGCCUCGAAGGCCCAUGACUGAGACUGGGAAAUCAGAAGCUAGGGCCUGUGAGCAGCCCUUUUCCAGAAGUGGGGGCAGAAGUGGCAGACGGGGGAGGGGAUCCCCGGGCACAGCAGCCAACGCAGGGAGCCACAGACCGGGAGGAGGGCUGGGAAGGUGGAGCUUGAGGGGACCCUGAAGGUGACCCCGCGACCCAUCGUUCACCCAAGACCUCUGGCGUACAGUGCGGGAGCCGCUGGGUGCCCUCCGCCAGGGGCACUUGGGGGAGAUACGGUGCGGCGUGUGCACGGGCGCCGUGCCGGGUGACUGGUGGCACCCUCGACAGAGGCCUGUGUGUGUCACACUGCAGACGGAGCCCCCACGGGGACAUGCCUGCCAGUCCGGGCCACCCCCACCCCCACCACGGUGUCCGGCACCACAAGCUAGCAGUUCCUGGGGCUGUAAGAGUGAGGGCGCUGUUCAGCCAAGUUGAGGACCGUGGAGCAGGAAGGAGGGCAGGCACUAGGACGGGCUCUGUUAGAAGUGGGGGUGGGGAAGGGGACUGGAGUGGGGCAGCACCCUGAACAAAGGGGUGCCGGGGGCUAGAUGGAGGGGAGUGCCCUGACACCCUGCCAGCCACGGGCCACCCGUCAGGUCUAGAUGUGGGGGCUGGGGUAGGGCAACAGGGUGCCAAGGCUGCCCGCUCCGGUCCGGCCAUCACCUAUGAUGUUGGCCAUACUGCCCUCCAGCAGCAGGUCGGUGAUGAAGUCAGGCACCGCGGGCUGGUGCAGCGACAGAGCGAUGCUGGCAGCCCGGACGCUGCUGUCCGCCAAGGUGAUCUGGAUCACGUCCCUGGGGAGGAGCAGAGACCGCCGGCUGGGCUCGCCCCAGGGGCUCUCUGCUGGGCUCUGGGCGGCCCCACCCUCCUGUUGGGGACCCCCUUCGGCAGCACCGCUCCCAACGCCAGAAGCGUGCCCAACUGGGAGGGUCCCCGGGCUUGGUCCUGGCAGAGGGAGGAGGGCACUGGGCCCGGCACUUUCACCUGCAGGGGCUCCUUCCUCCCGAAAACACAUUGAAAAAUCAGAUUUUACUAGUGUGUUGGUACAAAGGCGAGCAGAACCCAGGCUGGGCUCUUCGCUGCAUAUUCCUUUCUUACUUCUUAUUUUAACGUAAAUCACAACAAGCCGUUUUCCUGGUCCUCAGGAGUUGGCUCUGUCGGCUGCAGGGUUGCCCCUUACUGCUCGUGGGACCGCAUGGGAAAGCCCAGGGGGCCACGGGUGUGUCCGCGCGGUUGUGGUGUUGACACGCCAAGAGCCGGGGAUCCACGGAGGGUUACACACAGCCCCAGCCCGAGCUCACCUGACUGUUAUCCGCUCCAGGGGGUUGAUCUGCAGCAUCAGAGGCAGAAGGGAACCCAAGAUGUGCGCGUGGGGGACCCUCUUCUCCCCCAUGGUCUUCAGGACGCCCCUGAGGCCAUUCGGGAGGGUCCGGAGGGACUUUCUCAGAAGCAUGGCUUCUGUUCUCUGAGGGGACACAGACAGACUCUGCUGUUUCCGGGGUUUUCCUCAAUGGUGCCCCAGCUGGGCCUAGUCCCCGGAGAGGACUGGGGGUCCCAGGCCAGCCCGCCAGAGGCCUAGAGGAAGUGAGCCUGGGGACCCCAGGUGACAGGCAGCCCCUGUGCGUCCAGGCCGCCUCGGUCAGUUUCCUGGGGGGUGGUUAGUGCACCUGAACUCGGCCGUCUCACCCACAGGGGGCAGUGAGUGCAUGGGGAGUCCGCUGUGAGGGCUAGCGGGGCGGCCACCAUCCCCACCACGCCAGGGCCCUGCAGGCCCCAUAUGGAGUGGGGCACCUCCCAGCGGCUGGGACGGGGUUCCUCCCGGCCCCUUGGAGGCACGGAGCAAGGCAGGAGGAUGCAGGAGCAGCUGGCCAUGUCUAGGAUGAUGCAGCCCAGGGACCAGACGUCCGACUUCCGGCUGAAGGAGAACUGGAGGGCUUCGGGGGCCAUCCAGGACUUCUGACAAGAGUCUGUUGGCAGGAGAAGGUGUCAGACGUGUGAGGCCUGUGCUCCCUGGGAACAUGGGGGGGAGGCAGGCAGGUGCUCUCUAUGGAGGGAAAGGAAGAGGGCCCUGGUCAGCAAGAUCCUGGCCCUGGGGUCUCCAGCCAGCGAGGCCGCCUCCCCGCCGGCCAGGUGCUCCCCCAGGCUGGCCCGUGUGUGCGCACACGCAUGUUGUGUCCAACAUGGCUGCAGAAGUGGCCGGAACAGGGCUGAGACUUCCACCCUCUUUAAACAUCCUGCCCCUCUGAAGGUCAGAACCCAGAGGCAAAUUCCAGUUUCCCCACCCUCAUUUCUAACCCUGAACCCCAGACCAGGAGCCAAAAGAGCAGGGUCACCAGUCGGUGAGUCCCUGAUAGGCCCCAGGCAGCCCCUCCCUCUGGGCCUUCAUUCCCCAGCCAAACGGUAAAGGGGUGACUCGAAGGGCCCUUCCACACCUCCAGUAGGUGGCACCUGUCCACCCACACAUCCACCCACCCGCCCAUCUAUCCACCUGUCCGUCCAUGCAUCCAUCCGUCUGUCCUCUGUGCGCCCAGGACACUGAAAUUCUCAACCACUGUUACUCUCUCCAUCCCCAAAAGCCGGCAUAGGCCUGAAGCCCGGCCCCCUUUGCCCCACUGCCCCUCCAACCCCCUCACUCCCCACGUCUGCCAUCGCCUCAGUUACUUUUAGGACUCAGCAGUAAUCCAGCCUCCCCGGUGCCUGGCAUCCCCUAGCUCUCCAUCUCCUUCUGAGGCCAUUCUUCUCCUUCCACGAAGGCUAACAUUUUCUGGGUGUCCUUUGGACCCUGCGCGCACCCCUCCCCUGCCAUGGGGGUGCCCCUGCUCUGUUACAACGCUCUCUGGAGUCCACAAAAGCCCAUGGGGGGGGGGUCUGUGGGGACCUUCUGAGCAAGGAGAGGUCUGCUUUGUCCCACGGGGUUCCUCUGGCCUCUGGGCUCUAGGAACACCCCACUAGGCAGAGGGGCCCUCCCCUGGCGCUCCCCAGCCAUGGCUGUCCCGCCCCGGGCCACCUUCCUCCACCCGGAUGUUCCACUUGGCUCUGUCUGUCAUCAGCGCUUCGCAGCUCAGGUCCUGCAGUUUGCAGUGGUUGCUGCUGACGAGGGCUAUGUUGGAGGGCUUGAGAUUCCUGAAACAAGAGGCGGGGCUCACCACCCACCACCCCUACCUCCCGGGGCAGGGCCAGCCGCCUCGAACCUCCCUCCCUGCCCCUACCCAGUCCUGCUGCGCUCUCUGGAAACCCCCCCUCUGCAGCGCGCUUUUCCCUACAGAAAUAAAAUCUGCUUCUCGGUUCUUUUAAAUGGGGACACAACCGGGCGGCUGUCCCGUUUCUGCCCACCACCUUGCUCACCUCCCUCCAGACCCUCGCUAUCCAGGCAUUUGCUUAGGGGUUGGCUUCCGGCCAUCUGUGAGGUCCAGCGGCAUCCACACUAAAUCGCGAGCAUUUUCUUCGCCCACGAGGUCCACACGGUCCUCCCCUCCUUUAAACCCGGCACUGACCGGUCUGGAGCCGUUCCCACCCGCUUCAGACUGUGGCCGCCACAGGGUGGCGAGGCCGUGUUGCUGGCGAUCUCGAGCUCAGCCCAGGACGCCAGCAGCUCCAUCGGGCGGCCAGAGGCCACCGCGCAGCCCGGUCACUUUCCUCCGGGUGCUGUUAUCUGGCCGCUCUCCGCGCACUUUAGAACCGACCUGCCCGUCACUGGGGGACUCAGCGCCUCUGCGCCCGAAGCAGCCCUGCCGGCUGGCCGGUCACCUGUGGAUGAUGUCCAAGUGGUGCAGGUGCUCCAGAGCGUCCAGCACCUGGCCCAGCAUGCUCUGCAUCCACUGGGGAGACAGAGAGACGCCAGCAUCGGACAGGGAGCAGGGGCUUGCCUCUCCACGCCAUUGGAAUGAAAAGUGCUCUGACAAAGAACGUUCUGGAAACACUUGAUGUCAGAAACAAGAUCCAGCCAGUUUCCAGGGCAGUGAUCUUCAAACCAUGUUCCUAGGAACCCCGGAUUCUACCCAGGGGUGUCAGAGAGGGGCUGAGCGUACAAGACCCCAGGCUUCCACUCCACCCUCCACCAACCCCGCCAUGCUCCCUGACUAGAGGAGUUUUGGGGCGCCUGGGGCCUCAGUCAGUUGAGCGUCUGGCUUCCAGUCAGGUCAUGAUCCCGCAG